GCUGCGGUGGCCUAGCUGGUUAGGGCGCCAGACUCAUAGCAUCUGGAGAUCGUGGGUUCGGAUCCCACCCGCAGCA
This 76-nucleotide transfer RNA is filed under the name Methanoculleus thermophilus. Its description in RNAcentral is "tRNA_Met_CAT". It matches the Rfam family "tRNA". From Rfam's summary of the family: Transfer RNA (tRNA) molecules are approximately 80 nucleotides in length. Their secondary structure includes four short double-helical elements and three loops (D, anti-codon, and T loops). Lineage: Archaea; Methanobacteriati; Methanobacteriota; Methanomicrobia; Methanomicrobiales; Methanomicrobiaceae. The record is from RNAcentral.